RNA transcript from Hipposideros armiger (great roundleaf bat), 389 nucleotides. It is a transcript of the gene named thymosin beta-4 pseudogene, with no coding region annotated. The record is from RefSeq and is a predicted model, not a curated record. Lineage: Eukaryota; Metazoa; Chordata; Mammalia; Chiroptera; Hipposideridae. The transcript has a single exon.
CGCCUCGCUCCGCUUCCUUUCGCAACCAUGUCUGACAAACUCGAUAUGGCUGAGAUUGAGAAAUUCGAUAAGUCGAAAUUGAAGAAGACAGAAGCGCAAGAGAAAAAUCCACUGCCUUCAAAAGAAACGAUUGAACAGGAGAAGCAAGCAGGCGAAUGGUAAUGAGGCACGCACCUCUGAAAUGCACUGUACAUUCCACAAGCGUUGCCUUCUUAAUUUACUUCUUUUAGCCAUUUAACUUUGUAACAUGCAAGGAGGUUGGAUCAAGUUUAAAAUGACUGUGCUGCCCCUUUUCACAUCAGAACUACUGACAACGAAGGCCGCGCCUGCCUCUCCCAUCUGCCUGUCUUGCUGGCAGGGAUGGAAAAGAACUUGCAUGUCGCUGAAGG